UGGCGACAAAGCACCAAGGAUGGACUG
Molecule: non-coding RNA, 27 nt
Filed under: Mus musculus (house mouse)
Lineage: Eukaryota; Metazoa; Chordata; Mammalia; Rodentia; Muridae
Source: RNAcentral